UACAGAGGGUGCAAGCGUUAAUCGGAAUUACUGGGCGUAAAGGGCGCGUAGGUGGUUAUUUAAGUCAGAUGUGAAAUCCCUGGGCUUAACCUAGGAAUUGCGUUUGAAACUAGAUGGCUAGAGUAUGAUAGAGGCGAGUGGAAUUCCGAGUGUAGAGGUGAAAUUCGUAGAUAUUCGGAGGAACACCAGUGGCGAAGGCGACUCGCUGGAUCAUUGCUGACGCUGAGACGCGAAAGCGUGGGGAGCAAACAGG
This 253-nucleotide ribosomal RNA is filed under the name uncultured prokaryote. RNAcentral's name for it is "partial 16S ribosomal RNA". It matches the Rfam family "Bacterial small subunit ribosomal RNA", at positions 524 to 776 of the family's 1533-position model. The record is from RNAcentral.